Molecule: non-coding RNA, 46 nt
Organism: Callithrix jacchus (white-tufted-ear marmoset)
Lineage: Eukaryota; Metazoa; Chordata; Mammalia; Primates; Cebidae
Source: Rfam
GAAAAGGCCCUCCUUAGGGCCAUCCGUAAACCUUACAACAGCAAAU